ACUGAGGGAUCGAGGCUUUUCGGGUGGGGUGGGGGUGAAGCAGGGUAGUUUGUUUUGUUUGUGUUUUUUUUUUUUUAACAUACGUCACUUCUUGCAGAGAGCUGGGUAGAGAUAUGAUGUGGUGAAACGUUGACAUUUGUUGUCAAAUUCCCAGUGGCAGUUAUAGAUUUCUGCUUCUUAGACUUUAGUGUUGCUGGUUAUAACAGCUUGCAUCUUACCUUUGGGAGUGGAAGGAGGAGAAAAACACUAGUAGCACUGGUUUGAAAUAAUGCACAGUUUCAGAUCAUGACAGUCUAUAGGGAGAGAUACAGUGCUUAAGCGAGUACUUGGUUUUUGAUCUGUUUUCAUCAGUUAAUUGACUAUUUUUUUAAAUUUAACAGAUUCAGUCAAAAAUAUUUUGAUGGCUAUAUGGCAGUAUAUGAAGAAAUCUAUUUAUCACUUUUGAACUUUUGAACAUUCCUCUGUAGUAUUUGUAUGUUUGUACUUCUAUAGUACUGGCAUGGCCUUCUAAAUGGAUGGUGCCAGUCAACAAAGUAAAUGAUCUGUUAUGGUUAAUGUUUCCUUUGGAAAUCUCAUGUCAGGUUAUUUUUUUUCACUCACAUGCUACUCAAAAUCACAACAAAACAGCUAUUACACUAUGUGCUGGCAACCCUUCUUAGUUCCAUAUUACAACUUUGUAACAGUGUGUGGUGUUACUGAUGCACUGAACUGCUACUAUAGGCAAUUGAGGCCGAAGUGAUUUGAGGUGAAGUUACUAUGACUUGCCCAGCUUCCACUGUCACAAAAGUGCAUUUAUAUGAAUAAAACUACUUAAAAAUGAAGUUUUGUCUUGGCCAAAUCUGCCAACUAGACUUGGUAAUAGAGGUGUGAGAGCUUAGCUAAGAAGCUUCUAUCACCAGUCUGUUGACAGGUGAUGAUGGUGAUCAUUUAACAAGCAAUAAUAAAUGGAAGUAUAUAAUCUCAUAAAGUAUCUCUUAGAGAACUAUGAAAUUGUAACAGGUAUGUUGAGUUUUACUUGGAAUUACAUAGUUACACUCACCAUGCCACAAAAAGCAUGGUAAUGUUAGAAUAUCUGGCUCCUUUAACUGCCUUUUUUUUUUUUUCUGGAAACAGCUAUGACUUAGAGUCUACCAAUUUAUAGUCAAAAAUUGUACUGUAAGUUAAAAAAGACUGGAAAUUCACUUUGUGCUUUCCCACUGCAUGUUGCUCUUUCUGUAUGCAUCUCUGUACCUCUUCCUUUUUUUUUUUUUUUUUUUUUGUACAUCCUACUCCAAAAAUUUCCUUAAGGGUCGGUGAAAGUUGAGAUUGGUGCCAGUUGGUUAUUUCUUCAAAUUAUCCUCUAAGUGACUUGAGGACCAAUCAGUGGUUCAGGAUGUAAUUUAUAGACGUGUAUCACAGAUGGAGUGAAAUAGCUGAAACUUCUCUCUGUUUUACAAAUACACACUAGAAACAUAAGAAAGCAGGUCUUUAAAAAAUCUGAGCAAAGCUGGGGCCAGAAAGUCUUCUCACAAACAACGAAGUAAUAUGAAGAAUAAAACAACGAGAUGAUGGUGAUCUGGUGAUAUGCCUGCAAAGGAAAGGAAAAGUAACUGCUAUGCCUAGGGAAGGCUCCAGACUGCCAGCUUGUGGUGAAUGUAGCAGCAUUGGUGUAGUGGUAGUCUAAAGAUACAGAUUCUAAAGCACACAGUCUGACAUGUAAGUAUGUGAAAGAACAUAGUCAUUUGGCAAGAAAAAUAUUAGGAAAGUCUGUGCAAGACAUCUUGACAGGAAAAAACCCAAAAUUUUUAUUUUUUUAACUUCAGAAAAGUAAUUUUUUUCUUUCAUUUUCCCCUACUUAUGUCUUUAUAAACUUGUUAUCUGUUUCAGAUAUUGUGAAUAAACAUCUUUAUUUGCAUGUCUAACUGAACCUACCAUGAAUUAAAAGUGAUCUGUUAUUAAAUGAAUAUAAAAAAGUAAUUUCUCACUCCAGUCCCUGGACCAAACUGCAAGUACCUGGUUCCCCAUUACGUUUUGUAGCAUAUCAGAAAGCUAAGAGAGCAUGCUCCCAAAUAAACUGUUUGGAUUCUCUGGAGAAUAGGUGUUACAGGUUCAGAGAAGGCAGCAUCACUGCAGUAACGGUAAGUAACCAACUCUCUGUUGUUCUCAACACUGGGGUGUACACUGAACUUGGAAGGCUCACAGGGAGGCUAUAACAAGAGCCUAAAACCAGUUGGAAACUAGGUGACAUCCUUGUAUCCCUUCCUACUGUGACAGAAUUUAAAAUAUGCCUUAAAUAUACCUAUUUCUUUGUCAGUAUUAUGUUAUGUGUUAUUAGAAGAUUUUAGAUAUUCAGUUGCUCCAGAUAAAGCUUUGUGUUCUGUGGUCUCAGAGUCUCUCCAGUCACUGAGCUGUUCAUCUUAAUGGGACUUUUUUUCUUCCUUCCAUCCAUUUCUUUCUUGAUACUAAAGAUAACAUUGUUACUACAAUGACAAAUUGAUGUAGUUUUUCUUUCUGAAUUUGAAUUCCUUUGGAAACAUUUAAGUGUCACAAUGGCAUAUUGAUAAACCAGUGUUGGGUGUAUUAACCAUUUUGCUGCUCUUGCUUUAGCAGAAAUGGGCAGUUAAUAUAUUUAUCUCCAAACCCGCUCUGAUAAGAUUGUUUUCCUUACUGAAUCACUCAAACCUUUGGCUUCUCCUCUAGAAACUCCUGCAUUAGUGAUGCAUUUUCCAUAUGAAAUUGUGAAGACUGUAUCAAGAACUAAUAGUUCUUAAGGCAAGCACAAAGAAUUGCUGCCUUUUGUAUGCACAGAGAUAAUAUAUUUAGUAAAACAAUCUCUUUUCCUCCUAGAGGCUUCAGCCUCUUCCAGGACCCUAUCUAGGCAGUGCCAACUUAAUGAUCAAAACCUUAAAAUAGAGGUUAGAAGUACUAAAUUUGGAUGACCAAUUUAGUAUCACAAGGGUACAAUUUCUAAGAAUACUUAACAUAGGAGAGUACUUAUAUAUUAGCCUAUAUACCCCAUUAUCUUCAGCAGGCACUUGGCUCUGCUCAUCAGAUCCAAGGUCUCCAGUUGGGUGCUCAGAAAAUAAAGAAUGAACAAUUUGCAGCAGUUGUGAGCAACUUCAAGCAACAUUUCACUGCCAAAACCAUGAUGCCUUUGUGCUUUUGUAUUAAUUACUUUAUUUGUUACAGACACAACCGUCUAAUCUCUUCAUCAUCCUGGAUUUAUAGUAGAUCAGAGAUGUACAUCAGCAAUUUGUGACUUGGAGCUGAGCAUCUGAUAGGAGAUUUUGAUGUCACCUUGCUUUGUAGUCCUUCCCCAUGUAAAUGAGGAGACAAGGUUUUAAUUCUGAAUGAGCCCAUCUAUUUUGGGAUUUCUUCUGCAGCAAAUGACUAGGGAUUCUAACAGCACAGCUUCUUCCACUGCAUACUGUCUUAAUCAUCUACAGACCAGGUUUGUCCUCUAGAAUGAAUGAGGAAGAGGUAGUAAAGUAAUUAAGACUGGAUUUUUCUCUCAUUGCUGAUUGAAUUUUAACUUAAUUAUACUAAGGCUGAAGUAUUAAUUCAUUGUAAACAUUGGAGAUUGUUUCUUGGAGAUACAGGUUUGUGAGUGACCUAACUAGGAAAACAGCUUCACUCAGGGUUUAUACUUCAUUACAUAUUACACUUGCAAUUUUUGAUACUGACAGCAAGGAAUUGAGAAUAGAGAAGUCGCUCUAAGGGACUUUAUAAAUAAAAUAAAAUUAAUAGACUUUAUGAAGGCAGUGAGUAACUCUUCUUUGCUUGGAUGAAGGCUGUUUCCGGUGCAGAGGAAAGGAUCAAGGAGCAGGAAAGGGUUAUGAGAGGAAGUAAUAAUGUAUUUGCAGUAAUAUUCUUCAAACGGGUUAUGCUGGCUUAAGCAGUUACCUGAGUUUGUGCUACACAAAGUGUCUUCUGAAAUCCAGACCUGAUGAGGAAAACAACCACAGGGAGAAAUUGGAAUAAAAAUACUGAAAAUGAUGUUUCAUUUGAGGAAAUAUAUUGUGUAUCAGAUAUUUUUGUAGACAGCAUUUUGUUUUCCUUUUGCUGUGGCUGCCUUUGACAAAAAUCUUCAGUUCAAAUAGGUGCUUUUUUUGUUGCCUUAACUUUCUAUAACUUCCAUCUUUAUCUGCUACUGAGGUUUCCUCAGCAUGCCUUGGAAGAAAAAAAAAGUCAAAAUCCAAUGUAAAUUGUUUAGCCAGUGUUUUGUAAUUUUUUGCUAUGAAAGUAUGAUAUUUUUAGAACUUUUCACAUAGCAAUUAUUGUUUUGCUUUUUGAAUCCUACUUGUUACCACUGACAUUUUGUCUUUGCUCAUAACUUGGCUCAGUUAGUUACACAAUGUGAAUUGACAGACACUGUAAUUCUAAAUGUGCAGCUUCUUUUGAUGGCUAAUAACUAGGGAUGCUGAAGGGGCAUUCCCAAAGCCUGGAUUUACUUUCCUCCUGCCUCCCCUGUGCUGGCAAUCAUUUUCAUCCAGUCAUGCAGGGAGGCAGUUCUGGGAGCUAGACAAAAAAUUGGUGACUUGUUUAUGAAGGGUUAUUUUGAUGGCAGUUACCAUUUGGCAGGAAUAGCUUCCCAUAAAGACCUUUGCAGGUGGAGUUACUAUGCAGAACAUAAUAAAAGUGCCAAACUGUAAACACUAGGAACUGAAUAAUUAAUGCCAAAGAUACAAUGACUAGAGAGAAGGGGAAUACUACUCCCUUGUUUGUGGCUCUGUCUGCCCUUUUGUAGACAAAGUAUUGUUAAACAUAAGAGCAAAAGAACUCUGCUCCAAAGGGUUCUGCUCAACAGAAUGGUGUCCAGUAGAUAGCAGUUUUGCUAUUUAAAGGACCUACAUGUGAGUAGAUGGCAAACUUUGUGCUUUUGGUGUAGCAUUUUGUAAUUUGGGGAACUGUGUUUUGUUUUUUUUUUUUUAUUUUUGGUUGAAUAGUAGUUUACAUACAGUUUCAUGUAUAUCUUAACACUGAGGACUUUUUUUUUAAAUCUUUGCUGUGUCCGUAGGGGUGAGCUCAAGCCCCACCUUCCAUCAUGCAACAGUUAUGAGUGUAUAUGGUAGAGACCUCCUUAUAACUGCAAAAUCCAAAAGGUACAUGAGGUUAAAGGAUUCAAGCUAGAUAGUGGGAGGGUAAGUAAGGCAGUAAGCAGAUUACCCUGCCAAUUGUGUAUCUCAACAAACUGCUUAACAUAUCUUUCUGUCUGCAAGUGACAGUCUACAAACCUCUUCUUGCAGUAGGUGACUCAAGCAGUAGUUGCCACAAAUGCUUAAAUGGAAAUGGGGUGAGGGCCUUUGCAUAGCAGCUGUACAGCUUAAAGACCGCUCUGUCAAAUGGUCUUUAAGUAUUAUCUAUAGAUAACAUUCCAUAGGACUGCUUUGCAGAUGCAACUCACAGAGGCAUUUCUUAGCAAGCAUGCUGAUGUGGCUUGAGUUCUGGUGGAGUUCUGAUGAUAAGAGGGCUCUGCCUUUAUCAGUACCAUAAAAGGCAUUGACACAGCCUCCAGUCUGUUUUAAAUCUCAUGUUUUGGUGAAGACCUUUAGUUUGAAUCAACAUGAACAGUUCUGAAGAUCUAAAGGGUCUUCUUACCAAUUCUGUAGAGACCCAUUUUGAUUCUGAGAAUAAGAAAUAUGGUACGUGCAGGAAGUAACAGUGAGGCCAGAAGAAGCAAAAAAAACCUGAUUCCCUAGCAGCUGGUGAACAUGGAUGAACACCAAUAUUAUUUCAUCUUACUAACCCUUUUGUCUUCAAGUUCACCCUUUGAAGGCUAAAACUUCAGGAUCAGAGGAAUGAAAAUCAGACGAUUCUUCUUAACCAGAGAACAAGGGAGAUACUCAGUAAAUAUGUAGGGGUAAAAGGGCCAAUACAUUUCUCCUGUAUUUGAAGCCAAAAGGUUGAUCCCUGUUCUGGAAUUGUCAUCUAGGACUUCGGACCAUAUAUUCCAGUCAGCCUAGUAUCAAAAAUAAGUCAGCUUUUUCUGCCAAAGUAUCAACGAUAAGUAGAUGGAUCAGCGAUAUGUGGAAUUGUCUUUAAAUACAAUAGGUUGCAAAGAUCAGGUGGGAGAGGUGGAGGGACACUACACUGCCUCACGGGCUGAAGGUAAACAGUUGUGGUUUUGUUUGUCAGUGCACUGCUGUAACAUGUUGAUAGGGUUGCAGCAUCUUUUCUGCAGUGCAUGUUCUGGCUUCUGUGAGGUUUGGGAAUAACCUCUCUUUUGAGAAAAACCAGCCUGCAAGUAAUUUGCCAGUGCCAUGUGCCACAACUGAUGAAGUAAGGGAGAUAAAAAAGCAUCCCCUUGCAGGAAGCGAGGUACCAUAGUAAUGUUUUGUCUUAUGAGACUGUAUUCUCAGGGGCAACAUUCAUCAUUAAUAGAUGAGUCUGAAGGUAUAAACGGUAUAGUGGGGAAGCCAGACUUGAAAACUUUAUAGAGACAGAUUGGCUUGAGGCGUUAUACAGAGGUACCACUUGACUUAGCAAGGUUAGACAGGCUUGUCAUCAUGAUAGGUUUUGGACUGCCAUAACAUGCAUGUGUGGGUCAUCCUCCUAUCUUGAAAUGGAGAAGUGUCUUGCAGGUUCUAAAGAAUAUGUGGAGUGGGCUCUGCCUCUUGUCCUUUCACCAGCCAGCUGUUCAGACUGGGAGACAGAUACAGAGUUCUAUGGAGGGGAAAUCAGUGUCACUGCAAAUAUUUAAGUGCUGUGGCAAGUCUGAGUUGAUCAUUAUUAAUCUGUAAAGCAAAGAUGAUACUACGUAGGUGAUACACUUUAGCAACUUAGAAAUGUGCCCUAUGAAGUUUCCUUCUGCGAGGAAGGAGAGGAGGAUCCAACGCAGAUAAAUAGCAUUUGUGUUUGUUUACAUGAUCCUUCCUUUUUGAAAUGUUUCUCUUGAGAAUUUGAUAACUAGUGCUGGUGAAAGCCAGUAGGCAGAAGAUAUUCUUUCUGUGGAAGUCUUCCAUGCAGGGUGAGUUAGCAGUGGCAACUUGAAAAAAACUUGAUGCUGCCAAGUAGGAGUGUGAAGAUUCCGAUGGCGUGGGACUGAAAUCCCAAGCACAUGUUGAGCUAGUGCCAAAAAAGGUGGUGAGGGUCCUGUUGCCAUCAAACUCUUGUUCAGAGGUACGGUUCUUUUUUCCUUGAAAUUGUAUGGUAACCCAGUAGAAUUAGUUCUUCCUUGUCCAAAAACAGAAAGAAUACUAUUUUGAGGCACCAAGUCUCACUGGUGAGAUGGAAAAGGCAAAGGGAACAGAUCUUUGAGAUUAUAGAAGUGUGUGCUAAGGACUAGCCAAAUGCCCCAGACGAUACUACAUACUGUUGCAUUUUGAAAUAAUAUGGGCUAACACACUAAUAUUUAACACAGUGGGGCUGAAGAUUCUGAUCUGGUAGCCUGUCAUCAGGUCAAUGAGAUAUGAUUCAGAAGUGUAAAGCUCCUAAUAGUGAACUAUGUGUUGAGCCUGCCCUGGUCUUUGUGCUGUUGCUCUGAGGUACCGUAUCAAGGAAUGGCACAUGUUAUGUGCCAGAGCCUGGACGGGCUAUAGCAAAAACUCAUCAUACCUUCUUAUUGAGAAGAAUUGACAGGAUCUGGAACGCUGAUGAACCCUGCCUGCAUGUUAGUAAUUUGAGGUGGAGACACCGUCUUCAGUAUGGGCACCAGGGAAUGAAGCUCAGCAGUUCUUUGAAAUUCUGUAGGGAAUCUGAGGAGCAGGGAGGCCUUUCUGCAUCAGAAAGUGGAUCAGAAGAUUUUAAUUUCAAAUCUGUUAGAUCAGCUCCUGGUACCAUAACACAUUGUCAUGAUUGAUUCAGGCUGUGCUACGAGUCCUUGGUCAAUAGGUUGUGGGAAUCAAUGCUGCUGCUGCUGUCUCCUUAAUGAAAUCAUUUGGAACUGCCACUUCCUGUUUUUAUCAGCAUGAAGUUUUAGAUCUUACACCUUGUGGAUGGAGUGUUUUUACCAAAUGUGCCCUACGCACGGGGCAGGCAGAGCUGGAAGAUGAAUCUCAAGAAGUAGUCAUGUAAGUAGAGCUUGCUAGAGAAUAAAGCUCAAGUUUAAAAUAGAUGGUUAAAUGAUACAAAUACCGGUAAGGAACACUGUAUCAUUGAAGGUACGUCCAGCUACGGAAUGCUGUAGUCCACCUGGCAGAAAAAAAGAAACUGGAAAAGUGCCAAACUUCCUUGUGGAUCAGACAUUUGAGAGUAUGGACACCAUCAAGUUCUCUGGAAAACUUGUCUCCAGUUACACAGCCUUCGUACAGCUGCAGAGCAGACACAUGUGGAUUCUCACUUAAAAGAUAAAACAACAUGUUUUCUAUCAUAAAUGAGAUUAUUAUACUUAUUAUUAGCUUCUUGACAUUAUUUAUCAUGUCUAGGCAUCCUUAUCCUUUGUGCGCUAAUGUAUAUGAUGUAGUAUGCUGCUUCCUCUUUAAUAUCUUUCUAUCACAAGCUGAAUUCCAGUGCAACAACAUUUACAGCAUGCUGAUUUAAGUUAGACUUGCUGAGACUGAUGGUAGGAUCGCUUAAGUGAUAUAACGGGAGAGUCAUUCCUCACAGGCAAGUACAGAAAUGACCAGAAGGCCUCUGUAGUUCAUACAAUCUUUUUUUGUUUUUGUUUUAUUGGAAAUUGAAGUUAAGUGGGCCUAUCUGAUCCUAAAGAUCUAUUUCUACACCGAGUGCACUGCUGUUUUAAUAGCUUCUGUUUUGUUAAGAGGUCGGUGUGCUGGAUGGUCCCUGAUGGGGAAAAAGGAGCUGGAAAGUACUUUACCUAUUCGACGGGAUUUCCUUAGCGAAGUUACUUAAGCUCUCGAUCUUAAUUCACUUUGUACAAGUAAGUAAUGACAGGUGUAUCUAUUUCUGAUUUCCUAGUCCUAAAUUUAUUGUAGGACUAACUGCUGUUUGAGGCGAGGAAGCAGAGCAGCACUAGAGAAAAUGUAAAAAUGAAUUGGCAAGUUGUUUUGAAGAAAGCGUUACUCAGCGGAUGGUUGUUACAGAUGGGCAAAGAGGAUGAUGUCUUGUCUUGAGUGUUUGCUUUUUACUACACGCUGGAGGUGUUCUGUACGAUCAGCAGAGGCAAGGGUUCAUCCUAGGCUGGGCUAGCUACAAGUUGUUUUUUAAGCAUGUGGGUGCUGCUGCCUCACAGAAAUGUAUUGCAGUAGAAUCCUCCAGAUCUUGAAUGUGGCUGUAAUGGCUGUCUAAAAGUAAAACGUAACAAAGGGUGUCCUUUGCAGGGAGAGACAGAAAUAACUUGCUUUUUGCUUUGUCAAAAUGUAAGGCUACUAUCAGUGAAGUUAAAAGUAGCAGCAGCCUGACCCGGAGACCAUGCAAAACCUAACUUUCAAGUAAAUUUUCUACGUGUGAAUCUCAAGCUUGGACUUCCCCCCAGAGAAAUAAUAAAUACCACUCGCUUGUA
Phalacrocorax carbo (great cormorant) is the source of this 9379-nucleotide non-coding RNA. Lineage: Eukaryota; Metazoa; Chordata; Aves; Suliformes; Phalacrocoracidae. The record is from RefSeq and is a predicted model, not a curated record.